AGUGAACGCUGGCGGUAGGCCUAACACAUGCCAGCCGAACGGCAGCACAGUAAGAGCUUGCUCUUACGGGUGGCGAGUGGCGGACGGGUGAGGAAUACAUCGGAAUCUACUUUUUCGUGGGGGAUAACGUAGGGAAACUUACGCUAAUACCGCAUACGACCUACGGGUGAAAGCAGGGGAUCUUCGGACCUUGCGCGAUUGAAUGAGCCGAUGUCGGAUUAGCUAGUUGGCGGGGUAAAGGCCCACCAAGGCGACGAUCCGUAGCUGGUCUGAGAGGAUGAUCAGCCACACUGGAACUGAGACACGGUCCAGACUCCUACGGGAGGCAGCAGUGGGGAAUAUUGGACAAUGGGCGCAAGCCUGAUCCAGCCAUACCGCGUGGGUGAAGAAGGCCUUCGGGUCGUAAAGCCCUUUUGUUGGGAAAGAAGAGCAGCAGGUUAAUACCCCGCUGUUCUGACGGUACCCAAAGAAUAAGCACCGGCUAACUUCGUG
RNAcentral lists this ribosomal RNA (492 nucleotides) under uncultured bacterium. RNAcentral's name for it is "partial 16S ribosomal RNA". It matches the Rfam family "Bacterial small subunit ribosomal RNA", at positions 29 to 507 of the family's 1533-position model. The record is from RNAcentral.